UACGUAGGAGGCAAGCGUUAUCCGGAAUUAUUGGGCGUAAAGAGUACGUAGGUGGCAACCUAAGCGCAGGGUUUAAGGCAAUGGCUCAACCAUUGUUCGCCCUGCGAACUGGGAUGCUUGAGUGCAGGAGAGGAAAGCGGAAUUCCUAGUGUAGCGGUGAAAUGCGUAGAUAUUAGGAGGAACACCAGUGGCGAAGGCGGCUUUCUGGACUGUAACUGACACUGAGGUACGAAAGCGUGGGGAGCAAACAGG
Molecule: ribosomal RNA, 252 nt
Filed under: uncultured bacterium
Lineage: Bacteria
Description: partial 16S ribosomal RNA
Rfam family: Bacterial small subunit ribosomal RNA
Source: RNAcentral